GCAGAUGGUACUGCUGAACCAAAUGUGUGAAAGGCUAGUAACUCAUAGAUGCAUAUAAUUUUUAGAGUUGGAAGAGACCAAGGAGUUAAAUUCAUCUAACUCCCAUUCUAUAAGUAUUUCAGAUGACUGCAGUUGUGCAGUAUCCCAGUGUUAUCUCUUCCUUUCCUUAUUUCAAAACACAAUUGGCAGAAGGAAUGCAGAGCUCCUUGUCAUAUGAAUCGCAUGUCCCUUUCUUUCUCCGUCUUCAUGAUGGAAGUGAGAAAUUUCUAUGGCUAGGUAGAGCAGCCUUCUUGCAACUUUGAGGAUGAAAGCUACAAGUUAAAGUGGUGGAAAAGGAAGCCAGAAGGAGCUUGUGACUUUCUUGAAC
RNAcentral lists this long non-coding RNA (367 nucleotides) under Homo sapiens (human). RNAcentral describes it as "HSALNT0376248". The record is from RNAcentral. Lineage: Eukaryota; Metazoa; Chordata; Mammalia; Primates; Hominidae.